RNAcentral lists this ribosomal RNA (482 nucleotides) under uncultured bacterium. RNAcentral's name for it is "partial 16S ribosomal RNA". It matches the Rfam family "Bacterial small subunit ribosomal RNA", at positions 30 to 507 of the family's 1533-position model. The record is from RNAcentral.
AUUGAACGCUGGCGGCAUGCCUUACACAUGCCAGUCGAACGGUAACAGGUCUUCGGAUGCUGACGAGUGGCGAACGGGUGAGUAAUACAUCGGAACGUGCCCGAUCGUGGGGGAUAACGAGGCGAAAGCUUUGCUAAUACCGCAUGCGAUCUACGGAUGAAAGCGGGGGAUCUUCGGACCUCGCGCGGACGGAGCGGCCGAUGGCAGAUUAGGUAGUUGGUGGGAUAAAAGCUUACCAAGCCGACGAUCUGUAGCUGGUCUGAGAGGAUGAUCAGCCACACUGGGACUGAGACACGGCCCAGACUCCUACGGGAGGCAGCAGUGGGGAAUUUUGGACAAUGGGCGAAAGCCUGAUCCAGCCAUGCCGCGUGCAGGAUGAAGGCCUUCGGGUUGUAAACUGCUUUUGUACGGAACGAAAAGCCUCUUUCUAAUAAAGAGGGGUCAUGACGGUACCGUAAGAAUAAGCACCGGCUAACUACGUG